UGGGGAAUAUUGCACAAUGGAGGGAACUCUGAUGCAGCGACGCCGCGUGAACGAAGAAGGCUUUCGAGUCGUAAAGUUCUCUUAUAUGGGAAGAUAAUGACGGUACCAUAAGAAAAAGCCCCGGCUAACUACGUGCCAGCAGCCGCGGUAAUACGUAGGGGGCUAGCGUUGUCCGGAAUCACUGGGCGUAAAGGGUUCGCAGGCGGAAAUGCAAGUCAGGUGUAAAAGGCAGUAGCUUAACUACUGUAAGCAUUUGAAACUGCAUAUCUUGAGAAGAGUAGAGGUAAGUGGAAUUUUUAGUGUAGCAGUGAAAUGCGUAGAUAUUAAAAAGAAUACCAGUGGCGAAGGCGACUUACUGGGCUCAUUCUGACGCUGAGGAACGAAAGCGUGGGUAGCAAACAGG
RNAcentral lists this ribosomal RNA (403 nucleotides) under Fusobacteriota bacterium. Its description in RNAcentral is "Fusobacteria bacterium partial 16S ribosomal RNA". It matches the Rfam family "Bacterial small subunit ribosomal RNA", at positions 355 to 776 of the family's 1533-position model. Lineage: Bacteria; Fusobacteriati; Fusobacteriota. The record is from RNAcentral.